This 253-nucleotide ribosomal RNA is filed under the name uncultured bacterium. RNAcentral describes it as "partial 16S ribosomal RNA". It matches the Rfam family "Bacterial small subunit ribosomal RNA", at positions 524 to 776 of the family's 1533-position model. The record is from RNAcentral.
UACGUAGGGUGCAAGCGUUGUCCGGAAUUAUUGGGCGUAAAGAGCUCGUAGGCGGUCUGUCGCGUCGGCUGUGAAAACUCGGGGCUCAACUCCGAGCUUGCAGUCGAUACGGGCAGGCUAGAGUUCGGCAGGGGAGACUGGAAUUCCUGGUGUAGCGGUGAAAUGCGUAGAUAUCGGAAGGAACACCAGUGGCGAAAGCGGCUUCCUGGUCCGACACCGACGUUCAGGCACGAAAGCGUGGGGAGCAAACAGG